Brienomyrus brachyistius is the source of this 2107-nucleotide long non-coding RNA. RefSeq lists it as uncharacterized. The transcript is spliced from 2 exons. Lineage: Eukaryota; Metazoa; Chordata; Actinopteri; Osteoglossiformes; Mormyridae. The record is from RefSeq and is a predicted model, not a curated record.
UUACUCUGGAACGCCCAGGGCUUACAAAUCGAUACCAGAUAAAAUCUAGCCAUUCGACCCAAGUCGAUUCCCUACGCUCGUCCAGGCUAAACCAAUCGAGCUCGGAACCAGGAGAACGGUUCAGCCGCGAAUGUAGGUGUUUGUAUAUAUUAAAUAUAACACUAAUGCAACGCCUAUUUAAUAUUACAACAAAACACUGAAAUGUUAAAUGGAUUCCAUCAACAGCAUAUUUGAAAAGACUGGAAGUUUCCUCUUUUACGUCGAAGUACGGCACAGGCAUGUUGAUCAAGAGGGAACACCAGUGAAUGUGAUGGAUGAAAUUUCUUGUAGCGCCACCUGGUACAAAAAUCUGUUGAGAAAGUUUACGCGAAUAUUUGGAUUUUGACUAGACUAGCCACCGUAAAAAACCCAUCUAAACAGAACUAACGUUUGUUAUAAUUCAUAAUAUUUUGCCAUUGUUCUGUGGUCUAAUCCGACAUUAAGAACAUUGAAAUACCGAUGAGAUGAAACCACGAUCUUUUUGUUAGGAUGAAAAUUUUAUGUGUACAUUAUGGUGAAAUUCAGUUUAUUAAUUAAACAUAAGGAGUGUUGCACUAUCAGCUGUGUGGAUGAAUGUGUUUGCUCUUGUCUAAACAGAUCCCCAGGUUGGUUCAGUUUUGUGUCCUUAUGAGUGUGAGUCAGCACUUGUCAGCCAGGGUGGAUCACUGCAUAGCCUAACCUAGGCUAUAGCCUAGGGCCGCAGCAAACAUCAAGACCCGCCCCACCUUGGGAAAAAUAGAACGGUUAGUUAAAUCGGCAGCACCUGAAUCCAUGCUGAUGUCAGCCUAGGACCGCCAGUUUGACCCUCUCACGGAUGCUGCGGCCUCGGCCGUCUAAUGAAUCAAUCUUCUGUGUCCACGGAGGCAUCCACGCCAAUGAAAUGCUUCUUCUUUGGGUGAAGGGGCUGCCUUUGGAGGGCUUGCAACCCAGGCUGUGGGGUGAGGUUACGUGGGGUCAUUUCCACUGUUUUACCAGACCACACUGUCUUCCAUUGGACAGCGAUGUAUAAAACAUAAAAUGCAACAAAAUCCCAGAUUCAUAAUUCCCAUGAACACACAGUCGAAUGUAAACUCUGUGCAGUGACGGCAUGCAGUUGCAGGUAAUGCUGCUGCAAAUGCAAGAGUAACACGCUGCUGAAAGACUGCCCCCAGACCCAUUUCCUAAAUGCCUGGUCAUUGCUAAAGUGUUGAUUUGAGUUCAUAUAAAUACUGUGUAUGAAUAUACAGUGUUUUUAUAUUUAGGUUUGGCUCAGGGCUGGGGGAAAGCACAGCAGUAAAUAGAGUUGCUUAGUGCCUUAAGAGUUUCCUGUAAACGAAGUAUCUCAUUUGUAUUCAGAUCCUGUCCUGUCACAGCUGUUCAACGCCAUGUACAAUAAAACACUGGAAGAAUGAGGUGCAGGAUGGUCUGUAUCUGUUCACACUGGCUACAAGCUCCAGUGAGCAUUAACACUGGGGGGUGGAAGAGAUACUGAAGGAGAGAGAUAAGACGUACAAGACAGGCUUUAAAGAGCGAGAGAGAGAGUGAUGUCUGAUUCAGCACAAGGCAAAAUGAAUGGUUCCGGACUGGUGAACACAGCUCACACCAUUUAUGGCCACUGAGACACCCCCACGCCAGCACUGCCCUAACUUUGCCUCUUUUUCCACUCAGCUACUUGUCUAACCAGCCAGCAGCAGAGUGAUCACGCAGCCAAGUGCCCGGCCAGCCGACCGACCGACCGACCGACCGACCGACACGGUACAGCAAAGAUGCAGCCGCACGCUGACGUCACCGAGAGCCCUUGCAUGGCAAUCCAAUUUAUUGAACUACAGAUGCUCGGUUAUACAAAAUUGCACCACUUUUAAUUAAGGCUUUUUAGUUAACAUUUGGCCACCUCAAAAAGCAGACGCUGCAUUUCAAACGAUGUGACUCUGCACGCGGACUGAGAGACUGUUUUCACAUCCAGGAGUUUGCUUCAAUGCAUACAUAGCGACAAGGCAUUCUUUAAAUUAUUCAGCAGAAGUCACGAAAAGAGAAAGAAGAAAAGAAAAAAAAAACACCAAAACAAACUUGCAACUUUCUCCCCCUCCCA